AGCUUUGCGCAGUGGCGAUAUCGUAACCGAUGAGGUUCUACCGAGGUGCGAUUAUUGCUAGUUGAAAACUUUUACCAAUACCCCGCCAAGACGAUGUGAAAUACCAUCGGCUUAUGGCAAUUUUUGAUAACCCUUACGGGGG
Molecule: small nuclear RNA, 142 nt
Filed under: Melipona quadrifasciata
Lineage: Eukaryota; Metazoa; Arthropoda; Insecta; Hymenoptera; Apidae
Description: U4 spliceosomal RNA
Rfam family: U4 spliceosomal RNA
About the family: U4 small nuclear RNA (U4 snRNA) is a component of the major U2-dependent spliceosome. The structure of U4 snRNA from yeast and human has been reported.
Source: Rfam by way of RNAcentral